CGCACAUUGCGCCCGCCAGUAUUCUGGCGGGCAUGCCUGUUCGAGCGUCAUUUCAACCCUCAAGCCCCAGCGGCUUGGUGUUGGGGACCGGCCGCAAGGCCGCCCCCUAAAUGCAGUGGCGACCUCGCCGCAGCCUCCCCUGCGUAGUAGCACAACCUCGCACCGGAGCGCGGAGACGGUCACGCCGUAAAACGCCCAACUUUCUUAGAGUUGACCUCGGAUCAGGUAGGAAUACCCGCUGAACUUAA
Molecule: unclassified non-coding RNA, 248 nt
Filed under: Tolypocladium album
Lineage: Eukaryota; Fungi; Ascomycota; Sordariomycetes; Hypocreales; Ophiocordycipitaceae
Description: partial contains 5.8S ribosomal RNA, internal transcribed spacer 2, and large subunit ribosomal RNA
Source: RNAcentral